GUAGGGAAUAUUGGGCAAUGGUCGGAAGACUGACCCAGCCAUGCCGCGUGCAGGAAGACGGCCCUCUGGGUUGUAAACUGCUUUUAUCUGGGAAGAAAAAGGCCAUGCGUGGCAAAUUGCCGGUACCAGAUGAAUAAGCACCGGCUAACUCCGUGCCAGCAGCCGCGGUAAUACGGAGGGUGCGAGCGUUGUCCGGAUUUAUUGGGUUUAAAGGGUGCGUAGGCGGCUGAUUAAGUCAGCGGUGAAAGACUUGGGCUUAACCGGAGCAGUGCCGUUGAUACUGGUUGGCUUGAGUGUCGGAGGGGUACAUGGAAUUGAUGGUGUAGCGGUGAAAUGCAUAGAUACCAUCAGGAACACCGAUAGCGAAGGCAUUGUACUGGCCGACAACUGACGCUGAUGCACGAAAGUGUGGGGAUCGAACAGGAUUAGAUACCCUAGUAGUCC
This 444-nucleotide ribosomal RNA is filed under the name uncultured bacterium. RNAcentral's name for it is "partial 16S ribosomal RNA". It matches the Rfam family "Bacterial small subunit ribosomal RNA", at positions 354 to 796 of the family's 1533-position model. The record is from RNAcentral.